GAUGAACGCUGGCGGCGUGCCUAAUACAUGCAAGUCGAGCGAACAGAUGAGGAGCUUGCUCCUCUGACGUUAGCGGCGGACGGGUGAGUAACACGUGGAUAACCUACCUAUAAGACUGGGAUAACUUCGGGAAACCGGAGCUAAUACCGGAUAAUAUAUUGAACCGCAUGGUUCAAUAGUGAAAGUCGGUUUUGCUGUCACUUAUAGAUGGAUCCGCGCCGCAUUAGCUAGUUGGUAAGGUAACGGCUUACCAAGGCAACGAUGGGUAGCCGACCUGAACGGGUGGUCGGCCACACUGGAACAGAGACACGGUCCAGACUCCUACGGGGGGCAGCAGUAGGGAAUCUUACGCGAUGGGCGAGAGCCUGACAGAGCAACGCCGCGGGAGUGAUGAAGGUCUUAGGAUCGGAAAACUCUGUUAGUAGGAAAGAACAAAUGUGUAAGUAACUAUGCACGUCUUGACGGUACCUAAUCAGAAAGCCACGGCUAACUACGUG
RNAcentral lists this ribosomal RNA (497 nucleotides) under uncultured bacterium. Its description in RNAcentral is "partial 16S ribosomal RNA". It matches the Rfam family "Bacterial small subunit ribosomal RNA", at positions 28 to 507 of the family's 1533-position model. The record is from RNAcentral.